GACAGAGGGUGCAAGCGUUGUUCGGAAUUACUGGGCGUAAAGCGCGUGUAGGUGGCGAGGCAAGUCGGGUGUGAAAGCCCUGGGCUCAACCCAGGAAGUGCACUCGAUACUGCCUAGCUAGAGUCCCGGAGAGGUUGGUGGAACUCUCGGUGUAGAGGUGAAAUUCGUAGAUAUCGAGAAGAACACCGGUGGCGAAGGCGGCCAACUGGACGGUGACUGACACUGAGACGCGAAAGCGUGGGGAGCAAACAGG
RNAcentral lists this ribosomal RNA (253 nucleotides) under uncultured bacterium. Its description in RNAcentral is "partial 16S ribosomal RNA". It matches the Rfam family "Bacterial small subunit ribosomal RNA", at positions 524 to 776 of the family's 1533-position model. The record is from RNAcentral.